CGUAGGGUGCAAGCGUUGUCCGGAAUUAUUGGGCGUAAAGAGCUCGUAGGCGGUUUGUCACGUCGGAUGUGAAAACUCGGGGCUCAACCCCGAGCCUGCAUACGAUACGGGCAGACUUGAGUGUGGCAGGGGAGCCUGGAAUUCCUGGUGUAGCGGUGAAAUGCGCAGAUAUCAGGAGGAACACCGGUGGCGAAGGCGGGACUCUGGGCCAAUACUGACGCUGAGGAGCGAAAGCGUGGGGAGCGAACAGGAUUAGAUACCCUGGUAGUCCACGCCGUAAACGGUGGGUGCUAGGUGUGGGGAACUUUCCACGUUCUCCGUGCCGCAGCUAACGCAUUAAGCACCCCGCCUGGGGAGUACGGCCGCAAGGCUA
RNAcentral lists this ribosomal RNA (373 nucleotides) under uncultured organism. RNAcentral's name for it is "bacterial SSU rRNA". It matches the Rfam family "Bacterial small subunit ribosomal RNA", at positions 526 to 896 of the family's 1533-position model. The record is from RNAcentral.